CACACGCGGGGUUGGGGAUGUCAGGGAGAAAUCCUGAUGUUUCCGCCGGUGGUCCGGUCCGGAAGGGCAGGACUGUUCACCCCGUGGAGGUUCAACCGGAAAAAGGAGUUAG
RNAcentral lists this small RNA (112 nucleotides) under Gellertiella hungarica. RNAcentral describes it as "rpsB sRNA". It matches the Rfam family "rpsB sRNA". Lineage: Bacteria; Pseudomonadati; Pseudomonadota; Alphaproteobacteria; Hyphomicrobiales; Rhizobiaceae. The record is from Rfam by way of RNAcentral.